Rhododendron vialii is the source of this 790-nucleotide long non-coding RNA. RefSeq lists it as uncharacterized. The transcript is spliced from 2 exons. The record is from RefSeq and is a predicted model, not a curated record. Lineage: Eukaryota; Viridiplantae; Streptophyta; Magnoliopsida; Ericales; Ericaceae.
AAAAAAAAAAAACCCAAGAGUCUAUAGAGAUUACAGGUUGUGGAGGAUGCAGAAUACAAAUUCCAAACGAUAAAAAUAAAUUCCCAUGUUCAAGAAUCUCUCCAAACAGCACACUAUGUUAACAGAUAACUACAUAAUAUCAAAUUCACUACAUAAUUGAUGCUGCUAGUGCCUGCUACUACUACAUUCACUCAUAUAGGAUUAAAGCAGAACCCUGGUGGUUGGCUUGGUGCCUUGGUCAGUACGGGAAAUAGGCCGAGGCCAUAUGAAUUCAGACUGAGCCUCCAUAGGCCCAGACCCACAGAGGUGGUUGAGGAUGCAAUGAAUGAAGAUAUGUAGAAAAUGGUCAUAAGAUGCAAUGCAAGGCCUAGGAAAUCCAAGCCGUCAUCAUGAGGAGAGAACAUGCCACAUGGACUAACUAACUUACUCUGGAAGGUUCUGAUGACAGAAUGGAGGUCCCCAAGUUGGAGGAUCCCAACUUCGCACAGAAAGAUCAUGUGAGGAUGUAACUAGAGUGAUGGCAGACUAGGUAGAAAGAAACAACUUUACACAAGAAGGGCACUACUCGAACCCUACAGGUAGGACCCGUAGGCCUAUUCUACCUCUCAAACUUGGUAAGUGUACUUUUGCCCAAGUUAUCUUCACGUACUCUAUCAAACUGCUUUCCGGCCAACCACUGGCCAGGUAGCGGCAACGCGAACAUGUUUUUCUUUGUUGCAGUCUAACAAGGUUCCCAGAGGACCAAUCAAGGCCUGAAGGAUUCAAAUUCAUUGUGCCGAUUUCUAGCCUC